AGACUUCCAAUCUAGAUAGGCGGUGUUC
RNAcentral lists this small RNA (28 nucleotides) under Bombyx mori (domestic silkworm). RNAcentral describes it as "ovarian small RNA-11907". Lineage: Eukaryota; Metazoa; Arthropoda; Insecta; Lepidoptera; Bombycidae. The record is from RNAcentral.